GAAACGCGAUAGUUAAUGUGAAUUGCAGAAUUCAGUGAAUCAUCGAGUCUUUGAACGCACAUUGCGCCCAUAGGUAUUCCUUUGGGCAUGUCUGUUUGAGCGUCAUUACAACCCUCAGCUAACCGCUGGUUUUGAACCUGAACGGGUGACACCGCGCCGGUUUUAAAGUUGUAAGCUCUGCUGGCCGCUCUGCCCAACCAGAACAUAGUAAGCACUACUUGUCCGGGUGAAGCUGAACGGUACGGCCUGAACAAAACCUACCCACUCUCAAGGUUUGACCUCAGCUCAGACAAGGAUACCCGCUGAACUUCAGC
This 314-nucleotide unclassified non-coding RNA is filed under the name plant metagenome. RNAcentral describes it as "partial contains 5.8S ribosomal RNA, internal transcribed spacer 2, and large subunit ribosomal RNA". The stretch from base 1 to 105 matches the Rfam family "5.8S ribosomal RNA", at positions 50 to 154 of the family's 154-position model. The record is from RNAcentral.